CCACACUCAAAUACAUCCACAAAUGACAAAUAAAUAAAGCCUCUUGCUGGCCGAGAGUGCGCAUGCGUGCCGACGCCCCCUCCAGCCCCGGAUGGGAGGAGGGGAUGGAAGUGAAGCUGGGCCCCAAGGCUCGGCAAGCUCCUUCCCGCUCUUCUCUCCUCCAGCGGCGUCCCAGCGCCCGCUGGGAGGUGCAGGUCCGAGGGCUACAAGGUAGCUCCUGAGGCUUAAUUGAGACGGGAGGGUUCCGGAGCCCCACCCCCGGGAGGGACCGCCCUGCAGGUUUCCCUAAUCCUCCGAGCUCCCCAAUUCUAUGCCAGAGAUGCGAUUUAGCGACCAGAAGGACAGGAUGGGCACAGCAUCAGUAGGCUGAGACUAAAGAGAGGGUAAGCCUCCGUUUCUACUAG
This is a long non-coding RNA of Rattus rattus (black rat), 404 nucleotides long. RefSeq lists it as uncharacterized. The transcript has 3 exons. NCBI's taxonomy places the organism in Eukaryota, Metazoa, Chordata, Mammalia, Rodentia, Muridae. The record is from RefSeq and is a predicted model, not a curated record.